GGGCUGGGGCUCAGUGGUAGAGCACUAGCCCAGCACGUGUGAGGCCCUGGGUUGGAUCCUCAGCACCACA
RNAcentral lists this transfer RNA (70 nucleotides) under Marmota monax (woodchuck). RNAcentral's name for it is "tRNA.Ala". Lineage: Eukaryota; Metazoa; Chordata; Mammalia; Rodentia; Sciuridae. The record is from RNAcentral.